GGCAGAAAUGCGACGAGUUGAGGAAACACAUUGGGCAUGGUCACGCAUUAUUGGCACUCCAAGCAGCUGCUGCAUGACCAAUUAUUGGACCACAGUGGCAUCAUGAAAGGAGGGGAAAACGAUACGACAUUACAAAUGAACUUAUCAGAGCAACAAACACAUGCAAAUAUUGUACAGCUAACAAAGGAGAGACGGCAAGAUUCAUAACUCCG
Molecule: unclassified non-coding RNA, 212 nt
Filed under: Hevea brasiliensis (rubber tree)
Lineage: Eukaryota; Viridiplantae; Streptophyta; Magnoliopsida; Malpighiales; Euphorbiaceae
Source: RNAcentral